This 107-nucleotide small nuclear RNA is filed under the name Moschus moschiferus (Siberian musk deer). The record is from RNAcentral. Lineage: Eukaryota; Metazoa; Chordata; Mammalia; Artiodactyla; Moschidae.
GUGCUUGCCUCAGCCACACACAUACUAAACUCGAAACAAUACAGGGAAGAUGACCAUGGCCCAUGUGCAAGGGGGACACGCAAACCUGUGACACAUUCCACAUUUCA